This is a long non-coding RNA of Passer domesticus (house sparrow), 5570 nucleotides long. RefSeq lists it as uncharacterized. The record is from RefSeq and is a predicted model, not a curated record. The transcript has 4 exons. Lineage: Eukaryota; Metazoa; Chordata; Aves; Passeriformes; Passeridae.
CCCUCCCUGGGAGGUUUCUGGGGUCUCUCCAAGGUGUUUUCAAAUGAAAACAUUCAGCUCAGAGUCUAAGAAAAUCACCAGAGGACAGGGCCAGCCUGACCUGGCUGUUUUUGUCUGAGCAAUCCUUGGAUAUAUAGAAUUUGGGAGAUAAAAUUCUAAUUUUGGCCAUGGCAUCUGGGCAUGAAAGGUGGUUCUUUUCCACAGGAAUUAAGGAACAGAGCCACAGUGUUUCAGGGGCAGAUGAGAGGUGACCACCAGAGGCCAAGGCUAGCCAGAGCAGGGAAAGCACGGAGCCCCAGUGUUUCAGGAGCUGAUGAGAAGCAGCCCUUGACAUGCCAAGGAAGGAAAGCACAGAGCUCAAGUGUUUCAAAUGGAGAUGAGGAGAGAGAUGGCUCCUGGGAGGCUCAGCCAGCCAUAUCUGUUUCUCCUGGCAGCUUUCAUCAUGGAGGAGUCCUUGGAUAUAUGGAAUUUGGGAGGAAGAAUUUCUAAUUUGACAAUGGACACCUUGAGAAGAAGGAUGGUUCUUUUCCAUUGGAAGGAAAGCACUGAGCCCCAGUGUUUGGAAAGCAGUCCCCAAGAGGCCAAGGGCAGCCAGACCUGUCAGUCCUGGCAACUUUCACUUGGGAGCAAUCCUUGGAUGUACAGAAUUUUGGAAGUGGAAUCCCAGUUUUGGCCAUGGGCACCUGGUCAAGAUGGAUGAUUUGCUCCUACAGGAAAGAGAAGUGCCAAGUCCAAGUGUUCUGGAAGAUGAUGAGAGGUAGCCACCCUUAGGCCAAGACAGCCAGACCUGUCUCUCCUGGCAGCUUUUGUCUAGGGGCUAUCCUUGGACAUAGAGCAUUUUGGAGGUGCAAUCUCAAUUUUGGCUGUGGAUACGUGGACAGGAAUAGUUCUUUCUAUGAAGAAAGAAAGCGCAGAGCCUCAGUGUUUCAGAGGCAGAUGAGUGCCAGCCCUCAGGAAGCCAAGGCCAGCCAGACUUGUCACUCCUGGCAGCUUUUGUCUCAGAGUUAUCCUUGGAUAUAGGGAAUGCUGGAGACAGAUGCCCAAUUUUGGCCAUGUGUACUUGGUCGGGAUGGAUGUUUUUUUCCCAUAAGAAAGAAAAGCACAUGGUCCCAGUGUUUCAAAGACAGAUGAGAGAUGGCCCCUGGAUGGCCAAGGCAACCAGAUCUGUCACUCCUGGCAGAUUUCAUCUGGAAACAACCUUUGCAUAUAAGGAAAUGUGGAGAAGGAAUCCAAAUUUUGGCCAUGGGGCCUUGGAGGAGAAGGACACUUCUCUCUCAUAAGAAGGAAAGCCCAGAGCCCCAGUGCUCCAGGGACAGAUGAGAAGCAGCCCUCGACAUGCCAAAGUCAGCUGGACUUGUCAGGUGGUCCCCAGGAGGCCCAGCCAGCCAGACCUGUUCCCUGUUCCCUUGGUUUUGUGGGACCCCAGAGUGUCACAAUGGUUUCCUUGGUUUCAUGAGGCCCUGGAGUGUCAGAAUGUUCCCCCUGCUUCUGCAGUGUCACAAUGGCCCCGUGCUUCCAUGAGACCUUGCAACGUCACAAUGGCUCAUGCUCCCACAAAGCCCUGAUGUGUCACCAUGGCCCCUCGGCUCCAUGCCCCCUCGCUGUGUCACAAUGGCUUCUCUGUGACACUACAGGAUCCACAAGGUCACCAUGGACCCUUGGUUCCUUGGGGCCCCGAGUUUCACAAUGAUCUCCUUGAUUGCAUGAGGCACCAGAGUGUCACAGUGGCCCCUUGGUUCCAUGAGGUUCCGUAGUGUCACCGUGGUGUCCUUGGACCCGCGUUGUCACAACUGACCCCUGGCUCCAUGAGGUUCCGUAUGGUCACUGUGGUCGCUGUCAGAGGCAGGAUGAGAUCAAUGUCCCGAGACACCUUGGGAUGCUUGGAAUGCCCAUGUGGGGCCAGGGCCGGGUUAGGCCUUGGUUUGUAGUGGGACUUCUUGGGUGGGAGGGGUGAGAACCUUGUAGAGAGCCGGGGAGAUAGGGACCCCGAUCUGGGACAACUGUGGAAGCUCCCUUCAAGAUUUCACCUUUUGGGAACACGGGAGAGGGAAGAGGGGUAGGACGGGGAGAACCACAUGAACUGGGGAUUAAAGUGUUAACUGCCGGUUGCUUUCUCCAUUCCCACCUUGAAUUUAAAAUGGCUCUUACUUGGUGAAACCAGAAAAUGAUCUUAGAAAGGGAGGAGUUCCCCGACCGUCCUAAUUCUGCCAACUUUGCAAUGACUACAUCCCAAAAAUCGACCCCAUACAAUUGGCCAGUGGUAACCUCCAGGAAAUGAGAAAACAACCAAACAAUUAACUUUCUUAAUUCUCACUUUUUAACAUUAACAUCCCCACCCACAAGGAUUCCCUCAACUUGGAUAAACACUGUUUUCUGGAUCCCAGAAAGCCUCGCACCCAUGGCUUAUGAUGUUAAGAGAGAGAACCAAUACUCACCACCCGUAAGAAAAUAUAAAAGGAAAAGGCAGAAAAACCCACACCGGCCCCUGUCAAAAAAGACGGUGGCUGCACAGCAGAGAAAAAGAGGCAAAGGUGCUAAGUUAAAAAGACCUGGCUCAAAGUAAAUGAAAGGAACUCAGGAUGCCCCGACCCUUCAACAAUAGAAAGGAUCUGGGGUAGAGAGAGAGGGGAACAAGAAGGAGGUGAGAAGGGGAGAGGACACCACUUACAGUCAGGCGCAGAAUUCGACACCACUUCAACUCGGGCCCCCUCUCAGGAAAAAUCCAGUGUUAGGUGAACAAAAGACCAAAGGGGGUGGUUCCUGUCAGGGGAAGACUCCUCGGGUGCAGGAGCUGCCUCCUCGAGCCUCCAGGAGUGCCACCCACCAGAGAUGGGUCUUCUCCUACUGGAGGAAGCUUCACGGCCAGGUGGUUUCAAGAGGUCACUCCCACAGCAGGUCCAGAUGGAGAUCUGCAAGAGCCCAGAGUCCACUUUCCACAGGGUCCGGUGAUGACCUCAGCCCUCGCACUGGGUGCCAAACAUGUGGCCACAUGCAUCCAAAAGCCCACCUUGAGGGCUGCCCCAGGCUAGCUUUUUAGCAUGUGAGUGACAGCGAGGUGUGGGGGGCACUCUCCUCACUUGCGCUUGCAAGGAGAGAGCCUUAGGCACGAAUGCCUUGACGGACUCUGGGCCAAUGCCAACAGGAGUGAAGAAAGCGGGUUCCGACUUCUGGUGAAACAGGGUUAUUGGGAGGAGCAGUGAGAUGAAAAGUCCAGGUGCGUCCAGAAGCUGAAGACAGUGGGAAAAGGGCUUACAGCAACUUAUAAAGGGAGGUGGCAACAGGGGUGGAGCCUGCCCUCCAACCAAUAGAGGAGCAGGAGGGAGUGGAAAAGGAAAGAAGGACACUGCUAUGGGACCAAUGGGGAGUGACUAGGGGAAGGGCCCCAGCCGCUGAACCAAUCACUUGGUGCCCAGAAGAGAAGCUUCUAGAUAGAGAGGAUGGGUUGCUGAGUGACAGACAAAGCACCAGGGUGCGACAAAACAAAGGAUAUAAUGUUAACUGGGGUAACAGGGGAGGGGACAGGGAGACUGACAAGGAUUGCAGGGGAGGAGACAACCUGGGUAGAACCAUUACACAACCACAGGGGCGAAUGGAACAAACCAACUUACAAUAUACAACUUAGCUUAAGAAUCUGAAAAACACAACACAACAGUAAACAAUCUCCAUAUUGCAUUCUACUUUAGCACAACACAGGCACAGCAAGAGAGGUAAUAAUUAUGUUUUCCUUCUUCUCUGCUUGUCUCACAGCUUCAAACAUUCACAUGUUCAGAAGGCAUGUGAAUACCACACUCAGGGAGAGAGAGAGAGAGAGAGUCCCUUUCCUGCCCCUGGCAAUGACCUGAGGUGGAAGUGAAUGUGAUGACAGGGCCAUGGCCAGACCCUCAUGUUCUUCAAUCUCACACCACGUCAUUGGCAGGGGCAGGAAAAUUAACAGAUGUCUUCCCACCAUGGGUCACAGGGCUCUUUCCAAUAUGGGUCCUCCAAUGGGGGAAGAAGCUGGAGCAGUUCAUCAAUCUCUUCCUGCAGUUGGGGCACUGGCAGGACAUUCCUUACUGGUGACUCCUGGCUGGUCAAGUCAGAGCUCUGGGUGAAGCUCUUCCCAUAUGUGGGGUACUCGUGGAGCCUCUCCCCAGUGUGGAUGCGCCGGUGCCUGACGAGGGUGAAUUUCUGCUUGAAGCUCUUCCCACAGUCGGGGCAGCGGAAGGGCCUCUCAUCUGUGUGAAUCCGUACAUGCAGGCGGAGAUUGGAGCUGGUCUGAAACCUCUUCCCACACUGGGGGCACUCACAGGGCCUCUCCCCGGAGUGGAUGAGCCUGAUGAGGUGGGAGUAGCGCUUGAAGCCCUUCCCACAAUCUGGGCAGCAGAAGGGCCUCUCAUCGGUGUGAAUCCGCUGGUGCAGGAGGAAAUCUGAGCUGAUCCGAAACCUCUUCUGGCAUUGAGGGCACUCAUAGGGCCUCUCCCCGGUGUGGAUGAGUUGGUGGGUCACAAGGGUGGAUCUGUAGCUGAACCCCUUCCCACACUCCCCACACUUGUAGGGCCAUUCCCCAGUGUGGAUCCUCUGGUGGCUAAUCAGGGUGCUGCUCUGCCUGAAGCUCUUCCCACACUCCAAGCACUUGUGGGGCUUAGCCCCAUCAGGAAGCUGCUCCUGGACCACCAGCUCCAAGCUCUGGCUGAAGCUCUGUCCACCUUCCUGGCUCAAGAGCUGUUUAAACCUGCUCUGAACAUCCAGAAGAGCACUGGCAGCUCCACCUGUGGCCCAUUGGUCCGAGCCUGGUCCACGGCAUUUCCAGUGCUGGAGAGAGAAGAGACUGAUAAGAGACUGAGUGAGCAGAGCUACAGCCCACAGAGGGAUUUUCUGAGUUUGUCAUCUCUUUUGCAGUGGCAAGAGGUUUUAUUGUUUAAUAUUGGUCAUUUGCUGUGCUCGUGAAUGCUUUGUCUGUUAAAUAAACAGGGUUUUUCCACUUUUCUCCAAGGAAAUCUUUUCCCAAACUGAUUGGGGAAGAGGCUGCUUGAAUUUGCUUUCCAGAGGAAACCCCUUUUGGAGGUUUUCUCCCAAAUUUGCCCUAAACCAGGACAGGGCGGUGGGGAGAGGAGAGAGCCCCAAGUGCCUGGACUGGGGGGAGGCUGGAGAGAGGGACCCUGGGACCCCAAAACCCCGCAGCAUCCCUAAGCAGGACCCUGGAGAGGGGGGAUCCCCAGGUGCUCUGGGAUCCUUGGCAGCCAUGAGAGAGGGGACCACCAGAAGCCCAGAGGGAUGAGAAUGGAAAUGGGACACUCCUGGUGGCUUUUUUUGAUUCUCUUUUGCUUUUUGAAGGUUUUUAUUGAUAUCAGGUGACUUCUAGAGAUGGACUUGGGCAGAGGCCUUUCAGACACACUGUGCUCAUCCCUUGUUUUUCCCCAAAGCAGGUUUUCCCAUUCCCAAAUAUUGGCCCAAUGGAGGAGAAGGCUGCAAGGAAGAGAAAGAUGCCCCAAGACACUCAGGCAGGUGAGGAGGAAGUCAGUGCCCCCUUCCCCCUCUCUCCUGCUCCAUCUCCCAGCCCAGCACGGCCCUGGCUGCAGGACAACCCCGCU